This is a long non-coding RNA of Lolium rigidum, 1016 nucleotides long. RefSeq lists it as uncharacterized. Lineage: Eukaryota; Viridiplantae; Streptophyta; Magnoliopsida; Poales; Poaceae. The transcript is spliced from 5 exons. The record is from RefSeq and is a predicted model, not a curated record.
ACCAAAGCAGCGGUAUGAUGAUGGUGUUCUCCCCAUGGCUCCGAGGAGCUCACGGUUCUUCCCUGCCACACCAAGGGAUUGAAUAUGUUUUGCGGGAAGAAAGUGAGGGGACAGUGUAGUUUUCUAUGGUGAUUGAUGAUCGCUACCAAUACUCCAUCAACUACAUAUGUUACACGUGGCACAGUUUGCCUCUAGAUGCUUCGGUCUAGCUGCUGGUGAUGCUGCCGCUGCUGCUGCUGCAAGGAGGCCAUCCUGCACGAGGUCAAGCUGCUAGGCCCCAAGCCCAAUUGCGGGAGCUCGACGCCUCCGUUUAGAACAUGUCAACAUCGGCACCAAAAGGUUGUGCCAGUACAAGAACUUCAAGGAAGGUCACAAGAAGACUCUUGUGGCUACAUAUUUAGUUGGCUGGGGAAUUGAUAUUUAGCAUGUCAAUAAUGUCAUAAACUAUGACAUACAUAAUUAUGCUGAUGUACAUACUUGCACAGGAUAUCUGACACCAAGAGGGUGAAUAGUCUUGUGAGUGACAGCCAGAUAUGGGCGCACAAUAUGCCUGUGGCUUUGGCUGAGUCUUGUGAGUGAGCCACAUGUAGGCGCACAAUAUGCCCACGGCUUCAACUGCUUACCUCUGCCCUCGCCACCGUCCUCGUGUCAUGCUGCUUGGCCGUGGACGAACAUCACUACUCUUGUGAUGGCAGCGAGUUCACCGUGCCACAACCACGGGGGUGGUGAUGUCUCAUCCUCGGCUGCAAUUGCCCUCUGGGACUGAAUUUGUUUUGAGGGAAGAAAGUCAGGGGACAAUGUAAUUUGAUGUGGUCAUCAAUGGUCAUUACCAACUCUCAAUCAACAGAACAUGUUACACGCGGCAUGGCUUGCCUCUAGCUCCUUCGGUCUGGUGUGACCAACCCAUUCCUGCUCUGGCGGUUCUGCUGCAGAGAGGCCGUUCUGCACAAGGUCAAGCUGCUUGGCCCAAAGCCCAACCACGGCUAUCUCACCGCUGCCAUUCAGAACACGUUGAC